Molecule: long non-coding RNA, 784 nt
Filed under: Heterocephalus glaber (naked mole-rat)
Lineage: Eukaryota; Metazoa; Chordata; Mammalia; Rodentia; Bathyergidae
Description: lncRNA (ENSHGLG00000049540.1)
Source: RNAcentral
CGGGUCCUGAUGGGAGGUAAAGAUGACUCCAACUUACCCAGUACAGUGGUCUGGUGGUCCGGUGUCCUCUGCGUCUUUGUAGUGUGGAACCAGAUGGCUGUACAGUGGAGGGUGUGUGUGGGGGGGGGGGGUCCCGUGGAUUGCUGCUGGGGCGUGGGCUGAUUCGGCGCGUUCUGAUUCGGCGCGUUCUGCGCGACUCAGGCCGUUGCUAUGGCGUCCGCAGACCUGCCUGUUUGCAGAGGUCUGAUUAGGCGAGUUCCCAGCGACUCACAAUGUUGCUAUGGCGUCCCAAGGGAGUUAUUUUUAACUGAGGCUCAGCGUUCCUGCUGAGACAAUUUUCUUCUGCCAAGCAUACAACAGGCUCCUUAUCCAGACCACUUUAAAUGAAAUGUUUACGUUUGUAGUGUGAAUCCUCCUCGUUCUAAGCCCACAAGAGGACCGGCUUGUGGUCAGGACUUCUCAGAGGGAACUGUUCAUUUUGUUCCCUGCCACCAGCGCCACAGUUCUCCACCAGCUGAGGCUGAGUCAUUUCCAGCAGAUCCUGGGACACCCAUCACGAGGGUGGGAAGAUCCGGGAGCCCGCACUCUGGCCUGCACUGAAGCUCGGAGCCCCUCUGAAAGAGCCCGGCCCCUGCCUCUCUCUGUCCACUCCCAGCUCCUGGAGGAGGCCCUUUGUCGCAGGAACUUGAGAGGGUCUGGGAGUCAUUUGAAGAGCCUCAAUAGGUUGUGUUGUUAUUAACUCAUAAAUCACUUUUUCCCUCAGAAAAUAAAACUGAAUUUGUGG